This 686-nucleotide ribosomal RNA is filed under the name uncultured bacterium. RNAcentral describes it as "bacterial SSU rRNA". It matches the Rfam family "Bacterial small subunit ribosomal RNA", at positions 52 to 737 of the family's 1533-position model. The record is from RNAcentral.
UACCAUGCAGUCGAGCGGUAGCACAGAGAGCUUGCUCUCGGGUGACGAGCGGCGGACGGGUGAGUAAUGUCUGGGAACUGCCUGAUGGAGGGGGAUAACUACUGGAAACGGUAGCUAAUACCGCAUAAUGUCGCAAGACCAAAGAGGGGGGCCUUCGGGCCUCUUGCCAUCAGAUGUGCCCAGAUGGGAUUAGCUAGUAGGUGGGGUAACGGCUCACCUAGGCGACGAUCCCUAGCUGGUCUGAGAGGAUGACCAGCCACACUGGAACUGAGACACGGUCCAGACUCCUACGGGAGGCAGCAGUGGGGAAUAUUGCACAAUGGGCGCAAGCCUGAUGCAGCCAUGCCGCGUGUAUGAAGAAGGCCUUCGGGUUGUAAAGUACUUUCAGCGGGGAGGAAGGCGAUAAGGUUAAUAACCUUGUCGAUUGACGUUACCCGCAGAAGAAGCACCGGCUAACUCCGUGCCAGCAGCCGCGGUAAUACGGAGGGUGCAAGCGUUAAUCGGAAUUACUGGGCGUAAGCGCACGCAGCGGUCUGUCAAGUCGGAUGUGAAAUCCCCGGGCUCAACCUGGGAACUGCAUUCGAAACUGGCAGGCUAGAGUCUUGUAGAGGGGGGUAGAAUUCCAGGUGUACCGUGAGAUGCGUAAGAUCUGGAGAAUACCGGUGGCGAAGGGGCCCCUGGACAAA